Molecule: long non-coding RNA, 129 nt
Organism: Etheostoma cragini (Arkansas darter)
Lineage: Eukaryota; Metazoa; Chordata; Actinopteri; Perciformes; Percidae
Exons: 2
Source: RefSeq, a predicted model, not a curated record
UAAAUAAUUGGUAUUUAGAAUACAGUUACAUUGUUGAAAUCAAUGGAUUACACGAUGAUACUUCUUUGUGUCACAAGUUUAUUCACUCUUGGAACUCCAUGCAUUUCCCAGAAGCCCCAAUAUAAAAAC